CUCUCUCUCUCUCUCCUGGUGUGUGAUCCCCAAAACCCAGGAAAGCAUUGAAGAAUGGUAGUAAUAGGAGUUGAGUCGUAGUUAUAAGAAACCCACAACUUCACCAACACGUAUCUCAAUACACAGCAAAAAGCCACUUUACAUUAAUUUCACAGUUCUUUCUCAUAGUCCUAGGCACCCAUAUUCUUUUAAAAAAGCUUCAGACUUCAGUCACCUCCUUUUCAUCUGGCGACUGCCUAAUGAGAUAUGAGUUGAAUUGAGUGAGCCAUUACAGGAUAAGGUUACUGAAAUCUGUGACUGUGAGGCUGAGGCUGGAGCCUGGUCUAUACAAUCACUUUUUACCACCUUUCUCAAUCAGAAAUUAACCAGAUGUACCUAUACUCUUAUAUUUAUACCCAUAUGCAUAAUAGUGUUAUGUGCUACAUGCAUAAAAUCCCAUUUGAAGAAACCUUUUGAUCGGCACCGAGUGGUUUUUUCUAUAGGUGGUAAAUAUGCUCUGAUAUGACUUGUGUUUCUGGGUUUGCUAAAUGCCUCUCAUUUUGCCUCCCAAAACCCAGCUUGUUUCUGUGGGCAUCUGGAUUUUUGUACUAGAGCCACCUAUACUAUGACCAUUUCCAGGUAAGAGGAUAAAAAGGCAGACUGGGGCAACUGAGAUUCUAAUCAAAACCCAUUCUCAUUUCUUUCUGGCUUCUAUUUUUCCAUUUCAGGAUUUGGUUUGAUUAGGCCAUUAAAGUUAAGAACCCCAUUUUUUCUUGUCUUUUUCUCCUCGGUUGUAAGUUGUUGCAGUGUACCAUUUUAAGGCCCUUGAAAUCUGUGACCUUCUUUGGAGGUAUUCUGGGGGCCCUUCACACUUCAUAGGCACACCUCUACUCUUGUCUUGGUUAAGUUUUUAGGUUCAGCAAACCCAUUAAAGAUAAGGUCUGCUUCUUCUGGAGCGUAUUGAAACAAAGCCAAGUAAUGGCAGAUUGGCACGGUAUCAUGUGCAAGGGUAGUACGGGUGGUUGUAGCAGGAGUUCAAUAAGAGAUGAAGAUUUUGAAGAAGAAGAUGUGUGGUCAGUUGUGAAGGAGACGAAAGAUUUAAGUCCCAAGAUGAGGAAAUCCAAGGAUUACUACUGCUCUA
RNAcentral lists this unclassified non-coding RNA (1120 nucleotides) under Hevea brasiliensis (rubber tree). Lineage: Eukaryota; Viridiplantae; Streptophyta; Magnoliopsida; Malpighiales; Euphorbiaceae. The record is from RNAcentral.